CGCGGCCUGUCGUCCCCUGACGGCGGCGUGGGGCAUGCUGGGACUUGUAGUCCCCCUUCCGAGGGCACCUGAUUGGUUAGUAGAGGACAGCGCUCUGUGUGGCUCCUCGGUGGAGCCGGCUCCUAGCCUGAGAGAAGGGUACAUGAGCUGUGAUGGUGCCAAAUUUCUGUGCCCCUUCAAUGUGGAACAUGUGGUCAUCAAAGAAGAUGUGGGGCCUUAUCUUAACCGAGAUGGGACCUUUGGGGGCUCCAGCAAGGAAAAGAGCUUCGUCUAUCCCUAGACCCAGCGGCGAAGGGUUUUCAGCAUGCGGGCGCCUGAACUGGCUGCACUCCUAGCUGUAACCAGGUCUCUGCUGCUUUGUGUAUGCUACAGGACUGGCUGAAUGGAAACUUCCAGCCACAGGACAUGUGGAGACAAUCAGCCUAGAUAGGUAAGAAAAAUUCAAUUGAGAAGCUAGACUGGGUGAAGAGGACUAGAAGCAGGGUUCCACAGGCUCUUAAGGCAAGUGAUAUAUAACUAAAGUAUUUAGUGUUGCAAAGGGUGGGGCUAAAAGAAAAUAUGCUAACCGCACACCAGGAAAGCAUUGGCUUUUCAGCAAAAUGCAAACAAAAAAUAAAUACUGGAAUAGUUUUGAAAGCAAAUGAUAUUUAAGUUGCCAAAAUUAGAAUACAGAAGUCAUCAUUUCUGUUUCUCGGUUUGUAUCCAGUCAGCGUUGAGCUAAUGGUAUAGAUUUCAAACUGUUGGACAGUGGUGCUUAUCCUCACUUUGUGUGUGUAGGACCAUGGCAGGUGAAUGGGACAGUUGCAGGGUGAGUAAAUGUAUGAUUGCAGGGUGAUAAAUGUAUAAUUCAUCAGCUUGAGUCUUAGGGCCAUUUUUGUGAUUGAACAACAGGCGUUAACCCUGAUGCUAUCUACUUUUCACUUUCUCUACUAGGUUAUAAAACCUCUUUG
Orcinus orca (killer whale) is the source of this 950-nucleotide long non-coding RNA. RefSeq lists it as uncharacterized. The record is from RefSeq and is a predicted model, not a curated record. The transcript has 3 exons. NCBI's taxonomy places the organism in Eukaryota, Metazoa, Chordata, Mammalia, Artiodactyla, Delphinidae.